Molecule: long non-coding RNA, 1545 nt
Filed under: Chinchilla lanigera (long-tailed chinchilla)
Lineage: Eukaryota; Metazoa; Chordata; Mammalia; Rodentia; Chinchillidae
Description: lncRNA (ENSCLAG00000027948.1)
Source: RNAcentral
GCCGUAGGUUCGCCACGACCGACCUAGGAUCUCUCCCCUUUCGACUCAGGGUGCUGCAAAGCCAGCGCUCCAUUCCUGCUGGGCUCAGUCACACGAAGGAUGUCCCCUCCAGGCUGCAGGUAAUGAUGACUGGCGGUGGCAAUGAGGACACCAUGACGGUAAGCCCCAGACCACCCAAGCAUCACGUGCCCAUAAACACCAGGCCGGAAGCGGGAAAGCACCUGAGGCUGUGGCAGGCCGGCGGCCGCAAAAGUUUCUUGUCUCCAAAUAUUGGUCUGAGCACCUGCUCUCUCUUCUCUCCCAUCAUCUGGGAAGAUUCCAAAGGAAGCUGCGCCGAACCACACGCCGUGGAUCUUCACACCCUGGGCUCCUGUCCACGUGAAAUUUGACAGUCUUUGAAAACUGACACCACAUGAUUGUCAAGACGACCUCCAACGCUCGCAUUUAACACACCAGCGCUGGACAUCUGGGCUGAGCAAGGACAGAAUCCACCAGAACCUUCUGGGAAAAGCUGCUAGUCACUGAGAUGCAUGGUAUCAGCUGGUCUCUAAAUAAUCUCCACUCAGCAAAGCAACCAGACUCUGGGGACAGUGAUGGCAAACCCAGACCCUUUGUAUAAGGAAAUAAAAAUAGUGUCUACAGCGGCAGAUAAUCUGUAUUCUGAGGAGAUCUGCAAAUUAAAGAUUUAUCUGACCAAGAGGAUGGUGGCACUUUGAGGACAGAGUGGUAUGGUGGGUAAUGAAAUGGCCUGGAAUUUGGGGCAAUGAUAAUUAUAACCUGCCUAAGUUAUAAGUAAAAAUGGGUGACUUUUAUCCCUAUCCCAUUUAAAAGGGAAGGGAUCAGUGGCUGAAAAAUGAUGAUGAACUUGUAGUUGUUUUGUAAUUCUUUCAGUGCAAGAUGUAUUGGUAUCAUGAAUGGAAAAAUGAAUUUGUAUAUUGUCUUAAGAAACCUAUUUGGCCAUAAUAAACAAAAUAAAAUGAACAUGUAUCCUUUGACCUAAAAAAAAAAAAGAAAAAAAAAGAAAAGAAAGAUGGACCCAUGCUCAAGAGAAUGUGCUCUUUGAGCUGCAUUGAUGGGAAAUGCUUAACUGCAAAGAGGAAUCACAAGAACAGAAUCAAAUGUCAAACUUCAUAGCUGAGUGUGGUGGGGCACACCUGUGACCCCAGCACUUUAGGAAGCUAAGGCUGGAGGGUCACAAGUUCAAGCCCAGCCUGGGCAACUUAGCCACUUUAUGGCUUAAUGAGACCCUGUCUCAAAAUUUAAAUUAAAAUAAAAUCCCCAGGGGAGAUGUAGCUCAGUAUGAAGGCCCUGGGUUCAGUUCCCAGUAACAUAGGCGCGCGUGGGUACACACACACAUGCACACACGCACACACACACAUACACACACACACACACACACACGCAUGCCAAACAUCACUCGUAUUCAUUUUAUAUUUAAAAAGCUGAACUUCUAAGUAUUGUCCACAUACAACUAUGAGAUGACGAGAAUUAUUAUACUGUAUUUAAAUGCCAGUGUUGAAUACUGGUUCUGGGGAUCCCACUUCC